This is a long non-coding RNA of Etheostoma spectabile (orangethroat darter), 302 nucleotides long. RefSeq lists it as uncharacterized. The record is from RefSeq and is a predicted model, not a curated record. NCBI's taxonomy places the organism in Eukaryota, Metazoa, Chordata, Actinopteri, Perciformes, Percidae. The transcript has 2 exons.
AAGUGCUUUACACGAAACAUUAAAGGGCAAUCAAAAACAGAAAAUACAACAGGCUAAAAUAUAAUAAUAUACAAAUAUAAGAAUAUAAGUUACAGUGAGUAAGAAAUGAAUAAUUAUUCAAUUUAAUAUAUUGUAUGGACGGGUUUGGGAGGAGAGAGGGAGGGGGUUUAUUUUGGAUUAUUUUCAUUAGUGUGUAAAAUAUUGUAAUAAAAUAACAUAAUGUUCUAAGUAAAUAUGAUAAAUAGGUUUGGAAUGAUUUUUACAACUAAAAUAAUUGUUUUGUAACUGAAGAGGGAAAGUAC